Molecule: long non-coding RNA, 8170 nt
Filed under: Sorghum bicolor (sorghum)
Lineage: Eukaryota; Viridiplantae; Streptophyta; Magnoliopsida; Poales; Poaceae
Description: long non-coding RNA (SBIC_LNC013935)
Source: RNAcentral
CCCUACUCUAAUAAGGCUUUAAUAUCUGGAGCUCAUAGGUGGGAGAUAAAAUAUAUACAUACUUACAAGACAUUUAUUGUAUAGUCAAACCAUGGAUCCAAAGAAACAAGUCAAUAAGUCAAAUCAAGAUGCGCAUGUGUGGCGAAUGAAUGGUGUAUGGAGAUGAUGGUGAUAACAAUGGUGAAAGUCUAAUUCUACUUUUGCUCUUUUGAGGGGAUGCAUACCUUUCUUGCUUCUUUUUGAAACUUGAGGAGAAUGAGAUGCUCUAUAUUUUCCUUUUUCUUUCCUCUUAGGUGGGUAUUUUGUACCCCUAAUUCUACUGUAGGACACUUGUCCAUUUUUACCUCUCGUCUUACUUUUUCUUUCGAGGUUCCGGGCACUUGCCCCUUUUUAUUUCCUCGUAUUUUUUUCUUUUUUUUAGAACACUCAUCUCCUGAAAUAACAUAGCAAGUUGUAGUAAAGAUAAGUUGAGCAUUUAUUUCACAGGGGAAAAACAGAAAUAUUUUUGGCUAUUCUCUCCCGGAUUAGGAGUAGAAUAUUUUUGGGUAGUUCUGGAGAUGGAAAUUGGUGGAUAUAUGUGGAUGGUGCUUCCGGAGUAGAAGCAGCAUGUGUGAGUGAACGUGCAAGUGAAUCUUGAUUUAACCACAUGACAAGCUCCUAAGGGUCUACAGAGCUUGACCACACUCAAUGCUCAUAAGCAAUAAAAAGUAAAUGUGUGGCUCAAAGUCUAGCAAGCAUGUAUAUAUGGCUGUGGUAGGAAUUUAAACUCUCAUCAUACAGGAACUCAUCAUGUAAUAUUUUAAAGAUUUUUAAAAGAUAAAAUUCUCCAGAAUUCUAGCAUCUCUAGAAACAGAUAAACAGCAACUCAACCUUCCUAUAUCAUAUCCGUUAACAACUUAGACUUCAGAUCAAGUUUUCUUCCCACAAGUUUAGGUUUAUAGCAAGCUUUAAAUUAUAACAGUUAUGUCUAAACUUGAGAGAGAACUUUAAAUUUGAAAAUUAGGCAGAGCAACUAUUCAUCAUAUCCAUGCUAGAGUUUUAUUAUUACGAUUCAAAUUAGCAUAGCCACUUUAUUUAUUUAUUAAACACACUAAGCAAAAGACAUAUAUAUAUAAGCACAAAAUCUUUAUUUGGUUUUCCAUAAUUAUGUAUAUUUAUAUUUUAAUAUAGUAUAAGUAUAAAGAUAGUUAGAAAUACUUAUCGGGAUAAAUGGAGGUGCUCUCCCCCAAGCUGAAUUUUGACGUAAUUUCUUCUGAUGUAGCUAGCAGGUGGUAGAGGUGUAUUUGAAAGUCGGCAGUAUCUUGACAGCGAUUAGAAUGUCCUCCGUCUACUAGUCUUCUUGAUUCUUAAAUUUUGUGGAGCUCAAAUACACAACAAAGCUUUGUGGAGUUGAUUAAGUGUUAACAUAAAUAUCUAGCCUUUAUCAUGUUGAGCCUCCUUAAUAAAUGUUACUCUCUAUUUUUAUAUUUUCAUUUUAUUAAGCAGAAAAUAAAUAUUUAUUUUAUUUUUAUGCCACCACAGUGAAUGUACUUAUGGGUUUCAUGCCACUCGUAUACUCAAAUGGGGCUUACUAUUUUUUAACAUUUUUAUUUUCUUUUUAGGAUAGUAUGAACAUGAUUAACUAAGCAAAUUGUUUAAAAUAAUUAAAAGAGAAAGGAUAACUACCAAGUUUACCUCUUGGCAAGGCGUUCGGUGUUUUUAAGUCCUCCGAACGGGACUCUCCGUUUUCUCAAUUGUCCUGGGAUUCGUUGGGUGGCGUAGUCGGUACUUCUGGCGGCGCCUCCUCUUCAUGUAUAGUUAUCUUCUCUUUCCACACCUGACUCGGCGCUACGGUCACCUCUGGAUAAUUAUGUUUAAACUGUAUGUCUUCUGACCUUAUCACUUCUCCUUCAUAGUCUGCCCAUCCGUCCUUGAUGAUUUGCCUCCUCUGGUUGCGUUUGCGUCGUUUUCUGACCUGCUUAGAGUCUUCAACGAUAUAGUUAGGGUCAGUAAAAUAGCGGCGUACCUUCUCUGAGGGGAAGUGCAUAUGGACUUCUCCGGUUCCAAUGUAGAUGAUCGCUUUAACGGUGCUGAGGAACGGUCUUCCAAGGAUGAUGGGUGGAUCGUAUUCGUCUUCUCCCAUGUCAAUAACCUGAAAGUCUGUGUAGACAAAAUGAUCAUCUAUUUUGAAUGUCUGAUCUACCAUCUGGAGUUGAAUGUAUGUUGGUUUUAGGGGCAUGGUUCCGAACAUGAGCGGAUAGGUGACUGCGGCCAUUAUGUUGACGCCCGAUCCUGUGUCGCAAGUUGUCUUGUAGAAGUUGUAUCCAUUUAUGGAGCAAUAGAUGCUUAGCAUUCCUAGGUCGUCCUUCUUGGCGAUGAUCUUGACCUCCAUGAACUACAGUGACCAUCUUAGCUGACUCGGUCCACACUUGCUUGUUCCUGUUCCUCCUGUUGGUCCUUUUCCUUGGUUCACGUCUGGAUUAAUCUGGGAUUUGUGUAGUCUUGUUCUUGAAGGAAAAUGUCUCCUUCCUCCCUUUGAUGUAGAAACUGAUCUUGGCAGCACUAGCGUAGAUGACAGCUCCUGAGGUGUUUAAGAAUGGCCUCCCUAAGAUGAUGGGUGCCCUCUCAUCAUUACCGGUCUCUAUCACCACGAAGUCUGCUGGGGCGUAUAAGGUACCAACUCGGACACAGAGGUUCUUCAAUAUUCCUUUUGGAAAACUUAUCGUCUGAUCUGCAAACUGCAGACACAUGGUUGUUUUUGAUAAAGGAUAUGUAAAGCAUUUUUCAUAGAGUACCCUGGGCAUAAUGUUGACACUAGAGCCAAAGUCACAGAGUGCUCCUGGGAAGUCCACCAUGCCGAUGGAGAUCGAGAUGACGGGGCGUCCUGGAUCGCCUCUCUUGACCGGCAGAAGGUCAGUAGUAACUUCAGUGACGGGGUUACUCCAGUAGUUACCUGCAUCAAACAUGUCUACAAGAUUUGCAGAUUCUAAUCCUUCCGGUUGUGAUGGUAUACCGGGGUUAGUAGUAGGAACAGCAGCAGCUAUUUGAUUUAACUGAGAUUCAAUCAUUUUAUUAAAGCUAAUUUGAUUCAUGAUGGCUGUAGAGAAAUUAUUCAUUCUGUUGUUUAUAUUUUCUAACAUUUUAUCAUUAGAUGUCAAUUUCUUAGAUAGGUUAUCCAUUAGCUUUCCUUGAUUAGACACUAACUCUCUCAGAGGUGGAAAAUUAUUGUUAUUGUUGUAAGAAUUGUUACCUUGAUAAUUACCUGAGUAGUUAGGCCUCUGUUGAUUCCAACCUUGAAUUUGCUGAGGACGGUUGUAGUAGUAGUUGUUGUUAUUGUUGACGUAGUUCACAUCCUCAAGCAUCUCAGGGCAGUGAUUGCCUGAGUGUCCAGUGUCUCCACACUCCUCACAAGUCAUGUGAGAGUCGUAGAUGUGCAUAACUUCUUUCUUAUCUCCAGUUCUAUCAUCGAGCUUCUUCAUGAGCAGGUCUAGCUUAGCAGACAGCAUGUCUACCUCCUUGAGCUGAUGCAUACCUCCACCUCUCUUGCGUGUCUGGGUCCUUUCUUCAUUCCAGCUUUGAUUGGACGCCAUCUUCUCCAUAAGAGUUGCGGCUUGUGAUAUGGUAAGUGAUAGGAAUGCUCCUUUAGCUGCAGCAUCCAUGGUUUCUUGGGCACUGUUGCCGAGCCCAUGAUAAAAUGUCUACAUCAGUAGCCAACUCUCCAUUCAAUGAUGGGGACAUUCUAGGAUGUAGUCUUGGAAGCGCUCCCUGUUGGGUAUUUUAAACGCAAACAGAAAAAUCCGCAAGCGCACGGAUACCGAUGUAGCCUUCACCCGGGAGUAUUCCAGAGUAUCGAUUUUCCACAGAGAACGUGAGUGUACUAAUUAAGAUCCAAGAUCGCCCAAGGAUAACUAUAUAAUUAUUUUUGGUGGGAAGAGAGGAAGUUUCCUGAGAGUUCUCUAGUUGAUCUAAGAAUCAAGAAUUACUUCAAGAUUAUUUAUAUCGGGACAUCAGAGCACUAGCCACAGAAAGAGAUGAGAAGGGGGCUAGGAAGGUCUAACUACGGUCCUACAAACACCGAUCCGAACGUGGUGGAAUACGUCGACCAUUAGGGCUGUCACUACCCUAAGGCUACCACAACAAUCCGCAGGAUUGGGUGCAAUUCUAGGUAAUUGCAAGACUAAACACCACGUCUAAUCUAUUAAUUACUACUCUAAUGUUUCAAAGAUUAGAGCACUUGAUGCAAGCGGGAAUCCAAUAAAUAACUUGAAUGUAAAUAAAAGUAAUUAGAGAACUUAGGAGUUAUGAAUUGAAGAACCUGGAGAACAAUGAAGGACGGACCAGAUGCUGCAAAAGUACAAUGUUGAGGAAGAUCCGACAGAUCUGGCUCCUCCUCCGCUCUCCUCUUCUCUCCCUAUUUUCUAGAUUACAACUAGAACUAACUAGAAAUAGAACUAGAGGAACUAGAACUAGAACUAGAUGAACUAGAACUAGAUCUAGAUGAACUAGAGGUAGAACUAGAAGAACUAGAGGGAUCCUCUCUACUUGGAUGAAGAAUUGAAACCCUAGCUUUGAUUCUGUAGAAGAGGUAUGAUCUCCAGGGGCCAGGGGGUCUGGUUUUAUAGUCCCUUCAAGUGAAUCUGGGCCGUCGGAUCAAACCGACAUUGAUCGUGUGGUUUUCCUUGAUCCUUUAGGUCGGUGGAGCAUAAUCCGCGAAACGUGUCCUGAUUGGGCACUGUAGCUGGGUGGGCGCCCAGGAGAGUUGGGCGGGCGCCCUGCCUCCGAGCCCGAUUUCCUUCCCGUUCGUUCCCGUGGCUUCUGGAGUCUUCUAGAUGAUAGAAAAUUGCGCGACACGUUAAUAUCUCUAUGUAAACCCGACGUGUGGGCCUUUCUUCCGUAUUUCCUGAUAACCCCCUGCAGAAAUAGACAAACACCAAAACUCGUGGAAUUCUGUCAGAUAAAACCCUAAGUCUGGGUGUUGGUUGCAUUUGGAUCCUUUUCUAUGAUUAGUUGAUGGUUAAAUGUGAGCAUUAAGGACCGUCAACAAGCUCCCCCAAGCUUAACCUUUGCUCGUCCCUGAGCAAAGAUGAACUCAAGAAUUUCUGCAGUGGUUUCAUGCCUUAAAGAUACACAUGCGUUUAAACAAGAUCUCAUCUCUAGGUUAGGGUAAACUGUUAAGAUUUAAACUCUCAUAUUACCUUCCACCAUGGGGCUUGCAACCGUGACUUAUGUCUUGAGCAGUUAAAAGAUAGAACGGUCUAAUCAAGCGCCAUGUCUCAUGUUCUUGAUCAACUAUAGCUCUGGAGUUUUUGCAGAUUUUCAAAUAAAACUCAGAGAUUCCUUGUAUGACUCUCUCUAGUCUCUCUUUUGUGGUAUUUCUGGAUCCUUACUAAGGCAGUAAUGGUAUAUGCCUUCUCUCAAAGUAUGUAGUAUUUUUGGUAUGGGGCAUAGUGGCAUUGCCUUCUCUCUCACCCUACUCUAAUAAGGUUUUGAUAUCUGGAGCUUAUAGGUGGGAGACAGCUAAUACAUACUUACAAGACAUUUAUUGCAUAGUCAAACAUGGAUCCAGAAGAACAAGUCAAUAAGUCAAAUCAAGAUGUGCAUGUGUGGCGAAUGAAUGAUGUAUGGUGACGAUGGUAAUAACAAUGGUGAAAGUCUAAUUCUACUUGUGCUCUUUUGAGGGGGUACAUACCUUUCUUGCUCUUUUGAAACUUUUUGAGGAGAAUGAGAUGCUCUAUAUUUUCUUUUUCUUUUCUCCCAGGUGGGUAACUUGUACCCCUAAUUCUACUAUCGGACACUUGUCCAUUUUUACCUCUCGUCUCACUUUUUCUUUUCUUUCGAGGUUCCGGGCACUAGCCCCUUUUUAUUUCCUCAUAUCUCUUUUUUUUUUCUUUUUUUUCUUCUUUUUUUUAGAGAGCACUCAUCUCAUGAAAUAAUAUAGCAAGUGGUAGUAACAAGAUAACUUGACAUUUAUUUCACAGGGAAAAACAGAAAUAGGAGAAUAUUUUUGGCUAUUCUCUCCCGGAUUAGGAGUAGAAUAUUUUUGGGUGGUUCUGGAGAUGGAAAUGGAUGGAUAUAUGUGGAUGGUACUUCUGGAGUAGAAGUAGCAUGUGUGAGUGAACGUGCAAGGUGUAUGCCUUCUCUCAAAGUAUGUGAUAUUUGUGGUAUAAGGCAUAGUGGCAUUGCCUUCUCUCUCACCCUACUCUAAUAAGGCUUUUGAUAUCUGGAGCUCAUAGGUGGGAGACAGCUAAUACAUACUUACAAGACAUUUAUUGCAUAGUCAAACCAUGGAUCCAGAAGAACAAGUCAAUAAGUCAAAUCAAGAUGUGCAUGUGUGGCGAAUGAAUGGUGUAAGGUGAUGAUGGUGAUAACAAUGGUGAAAGUCUAAUUCUACUUGUGCUCUUUUGAGGGGAUACAUACCUCUCUUGCUCUUUUGAAGCUUUUUGAGGAGAAUGAGAUGCUCUAUAUUUUCUUUUUCUUUCCUCUCAGGUGGGUAUCUUGUACCCCUAAUUCUACUAUCGGACACUUGUCCAUUUUUACCUCUCGUCUCACUUUUUCUUUUCUUUCGAGGUUCCGAGCACUUGCCCCUUUUUAUUUCCUCGUAUUUUUUUUUCUUUCUUCUUCUUUUUUUUAGAGCACUCAUCUCCUGAAAUAAUAUAGCAAGUGGUAGUAACCAAGAUAACUUGACAUUUAUUUCACAGGGAAAAACAGAAAUAGGAGAAUAUUUUUGGCUAUUCUCUCCCGGAUUAGGAGUAGAAUAUUUUUGGGUGGUUCUGGAGAUGGAAAUGGAUGGAUAUAUGUGGAUGGUACUUCUGGAGUAGAAGUAGCAUGUGUGAGUGAACGUGCAAGUGAAUCUUGAUUUAACCACAUGACAAGCUCCUAAGGGUCUACACAGCUUGACCACACUCAAUGCUCAUAAGCAAUAAAAAGUAAAUGUGUGGUUCAUAGUCUAACAAGCAUGUAUAUAUGGCUGUGGUAGGAAUUUAAACUCUCAUCAUACAGGAACUCAUCAUGCAACAUUUUAAAGAUUUUCAAAGAUAAAAUUCUCCAGAAUUCUAGCAUCUAGGAACAGAUAAACAGCAGCUCAACCUUCCCAUAUCGUAUCCAUUAACGACUUAGACUUUAGAUCAAGUACUCUCCCCACAAGUUCAGGUUUAGAGUAAAUCUUAAUUAAUAACAGUCAGGCCUAAACUUGAGAGAGAUUUCAAUUUUGAGAACUAGUCAUGGCAGAGCAACUAUUCAUUAUUUCCAUGUGAGAGCUUAUUAUGAGGAUUCAAGCAAACUUUAUUUAUUUAUUUAUUUAGCAAACUAAGCAAAGAUAAGCACAAAAUCUUUAUUUGGGUUUUUAUGAUUAUGCAUCUUUUUAUUAUUGGAGUAAAGUAUAAACGUGAGUAGAAUACUUAGCUGGAUAAAUGGGGGUGCUCUCCCCCAAGCUGGAUUUUGACGUAAUUCCUUCUAAUGUAGCUAGCAGGUGGUGGAGUUGUAUAUGAAUGCCGGCAGCACCCUGACAGCGAUUAGGAUGUCCUCCGUCUGCUAGUCUUCUUUGAUCCUUGAAUUCUGUGGAGCUCAAAUAGACAACAAAACUUUGUGGAACUAGUUAAGUGUUAGCAUAAAAACUCUUAGCCGUUAUCAUGUUGAGCUUCCUCUAAUAAAUUUUACUCUCUUUGGUAGGAUCAUAAAUCUAUUUUUAUAAUUUUAUUUUUAUAGGACAGGAAUAUAUUUGUUUUAUUUUUAUGCCACCACAGUGAAUGUACUUAUGGGUUUUAUGCCAUGAGCAUACUCACAUGGGGCUUACUUAACAUUUUUAUUUUCUUUUCAAGAUGAUAUGAACCUGAUUAACUAAGAAAACUAUUUUAAAAUAAUUAAAAGGAAAAAGAUAACUACCAAGUUUACCUCUUGGCAAGGCGUUCGGUGUUUUUAAGUCCUCCGAACGGGACUCUCUGUUUUCUCAGUCGUCCUGGGAUUCGCUGGAUGGCAUAGUCGGUGGUUCCGGCGGUGCUUCCUCUUCGUGUAUAACUAUCUUCUCUCUCCACACCUGACUCGGUGCUGUCUCCUCAGGACAGUUCUGUUCAAGCUGUAUGUCUUCAGACCUUACUACUUCUCCUUCGUAGUCUGGCCAUCCAUCCUUGAUGAUUUGCCUUCUCUGGAUGCGGUUGCGUCGUCUUCUUCUUGUCCUGACCUGCUUAGAGUCUUC